RNAcentral lists this ribosomal RNA (612 nucleotides) under uncultured fungus. RNAcentral describes it as "eukaryotic LSU rRNA". It matches the Rfam family "Eukaryotic large subunit ribosomal RNA", at positions 23 to 649 of the family's 3401-position model. The record is from RNAcentral. Lineage: Eukaryota; Fungi.
ACCCGCUGAACUUAAGCAUAUCANUAAGCGGAGGAAAAGAANCCAACAGGGAUUACCUCAGUAACGGCGAGUGAAGCGGUAACAGCUCAAAUUUGAAAUCUGGCUCCUUUGGGGCCCGAGUUGUAAUUUGUAGAAGAUGCUUUGGGCGUGGCUCCGGUCUAAGUUCCUUGGAACAGGACGUCAUAGAGGGUGAGAAUCCCGUACGUGACUGGGUGCCUUUGUCCGUGUAAAGCUCUUUCGACGAGUCGAGUUGUUUGGGAAUGCAGCUCAAAAUGGGUGGUAAAUUUCAUCUAAAGCUAAAUAUUGGCCAGAGACCGAUAGCGCACAAGUAGAGUGAUCGAAAGAUGAAAAGCACUUUGGAAAGAGAGUUAAACAGUACGUGAAAUUGUUGAAAGGGAAGCGCUUGCAAUCAGACUUGCGUGUAGUUGAUCAUCCGAGCUUCUGCCCGGUGCACUCGAUCAUACUCAGGCCAGCAUCGGUUUGGGCGGUUGGAUAAAGGCCUUGGGAAUGUGGCUCCUCUCGGGGAGUGUUAUAGCCCUCGGUGCAAUGCAGCCUGUCCGGACCGAGGACCGCGCUUCGGCUAGGAUGCUGGCGUAAUGGUUGUAAGCGACC